Molecule: unclassified non-coding RNA, 1159 nt
Filed under: Hevea brasiliensis (rubber tree)
Lineage: Eukaryota; Viridiplantae; Streptophyta; Magnoliopsida; Malpighiales; Euphorbiaceae
Source: RNAcentral
AACUUAAGUAGCAUAUUUUCCCACUAGUUAUAUAUUUUGACAUCUUUGGGAUCAAGAAAUGACUGAAAUCUGUUUGGAUAGAGUGUAGAAGGAGCAAAUAGGUGUGCACAAAAUAUUUAUUCAGCAGACUCAUCUAUUUUGACAUAUCAAUAUUUGAGUGUGUUUUUAUACUUCACCGAUAUCCAUUGCCGUCUUGCAAAUACUCGUAAACAUACUAAUCAAUUCAACUGUUCAUUCGUUGCUGUCACCCAUGCAUCAUAAAUUUCAUCUGAAAAUAGCACAAAGUGUACCUCUUUAAGGUCACUGCCAAAUUCUUUGACAGUAGAUAUAGCUACAGUGGCAGCUUCAUCAUAAGGAUAUCCAAAGACCCCACAUGAUAUGGCAGGAAAAGCUAUAUACUGAAUGUUGUUCUCUUUUGCCACACGCAGGCUAUUUCUAUAUGCAUUUGUCAAGGAGGCUUUAGGAUUCGGGUUAGCAUCAUAUACUGGUCCAACAGUGUGGAUUACAUGGGAAGCUGGCAAUCUGAAACCAGGGGUAAUCCUUGCUUCUCCUGUUGGACAGCGAAUUCCAGGCUGUACCUCUCGUACUUUAUAGCAUGCAUCUCGUAAUUCUGGACCAGCAGCUCGAUGUAUGGCUAGAAAUGGGCAAAAUUGAAAUUAGACUACAUAGAUCAUGGAAAAGAAGCAACACUUCAGCAGUAAAUUAGAGAAUUACCUCCAUCAGCACCACCACCACCCAACAUUCUCUCAUUCGCAGGAUUGACAAUAGCGUCAGAGGAUCCAUCUACGGACCAGCGAGUAAUAUCACCUUUCUGAAUCUUCAACAAGCUCGACGGAGUUAACUGAAACGUAACUGGAUUUUCACCGCCGCUGGCCAUGGUUGAAACGCCGGCGAUACUCGAUCUUCUGCCCCGUACGACGGCGAUCAACUGCCGAGGACUAAUUGAAAUGACGGAAAUGGGCCUGAUGAAAGUGUCAAUGGCAGUAGUAGGGUUCAGCGUGUAGAAGUUUCUGGAGGACUGAAAGUGUGAGUUUUGAAAGUUUUGAGGGGUAUUAAAGGAAGGAAAAUAUCGUAAGAGUGUUGAACAGAGUUUGUGAUACGUUGCAGGAGGAGACCUCAUUUGUCUACUUGAUUGUCACUUUAGAGUCGAUAGUGAGAA